This 5113-nucleotide long non-coding RNA is filed under the name Marmota monax (woodchuck). Lineage: Eukaryota; Metazoa; Chordata; Mammalia; Rodentia; Sciuridae. The record is from RNAcentral.
UAAUAAACCAAAUUAAAAACUGAAUAGAAAGCAUUACCAACAGAUUAGAUCACUUAGAAGACAGCACCUCAGACAAUGGAGAUAAAACAUAUAAUGUUGAAAAUAAAGUUUAUCACAUGGUGAAGAUGGUAAGAAACCAUGAGCAGACUAUCCAAGAAUUAUGGGAUAGCAUGAAAAGACCACAUUUAAGAAUUUUUGGGAUAGAGAAAGUCAUAAAGAUACAAACCAAAGGAAUGAACAAUCUAGUCAGUGAAAUAAUAACAGAAAAAUUUCUAAACCUGAAGAAUGAAUUAAUUGAAAAUCAAAUAUAAAAGGCUUAGAGGACACUAAAUGUACCAAAUCACAAUAGAUCUACACCAAGCCACAUUAUAAUGAAAAUGCCUAACAUACAGAAUAAGGAGAGAAUUUUAAAGCCACAAGAGAAGGGAAUCAGAUUACAUAUAGGGGGAAACCAAUUAGGAUCUCUUCAAAUUUCUCAACCCAGACCCUCAAAGCUAGAAGAACCUGGAAUAACAUAUACCACGCUCUGAAAGAAAAUGGAUGCCAUCCAAGAAUCUUAUAUGCAGCAAAAUUAAGGUUCAGAUUUGAUCAUGAAAUAAAAACUUUCAUGAUAAAAAAAGUUAAAAGAAUUUACAAUGAGAAAGCCUGCACUAUGGAACAUCCUUGGCAAAAUGUUCCAUGAGGAGGAAAUAAAAAACAACAAUGAAAAUCAUCAAAGGGAGGUAUUACACUAAAGGAAAAACCAAUCAACCUCUGGCUGGGAUAAAGAGACUACUCUUAUUUUCUAUAUUGAUCUAAGUACUGUAAUUCUUGGCCACUGCACCCUUUACUGCCCCCUCUCAGUUGCCACAGUCUUAGCCUUAGUUUUCACUGGAAGAUUAACAGCAACUGCUCCAGCCAGUUGGCAUUAGGUUAAAAAGCUUGUACUAGCAAUCUCUCACCUCCUUUUAACAAUAUACAUUGUUAUCAUUGGUUGCUUUAAAUCUGGCUUCUCUUUGUGCACUUGAGCCUCUUAGCUUGUGACUCACAUCUUUAUAUGACUUAAUCAAGCAAAGGUAUCACCAUGACCCUACUUUAUCUUACCCAUUUCUCCUAUCAUGAAUCUAUCUCAGGAACCUACAGACUGGAUAAAAAAGGUCACUCACAUCCCCGUCUAGACCUUGAAACUCCAGGAAAUUAUUUAAAAAUGUAAUUUUCAACAUUAGGGGAAAUUCAAGAGUCUCAUACGUAUUAUUGUUUUUAUGUGAAGGGUCUGUCUUUUCCUGCCUUGUCUAUAAGAACUGCCUUGGUUAUAAGAUCUAUUUGUAGUUUCUUAGAGGCUCUGAUUAAAAGAAAAACAGCAACCUAUGUUAUAAUGUUAUGGAAAUAUAACCCAUUAAAUCAGGAUGAUACUUUUUAAUGCCCAAAGGAUCCAAAUAUCAAAGGGGGAAAUACAGUAGAGAUUCUCUCAAAACACACAAAAAAAGAUAACACAAUGUCAUCAGUAUCAAUGUGAACCUUCCACAACUCAGUUGUAACAUUGUUUGCCUUUAAACGACAACAACAAAAGUCACUCAUGAGAACUAAGAAACAGCUCACUUGGAUGAGAUUCCCUCAGGGAUUCAAGAACUCUCCUACACUCUUCCUUGGAGCCUUAGCCACUGACUUGACUGGGUUUCCAGGACAGAAACUAAAUUUUGUCUUGUUACAAUAUGUUGAUCAUCUUCUGCUGACCAGUUCAACAUAGGCUCAAUGUGUCUCCUUUCUCUGUUAACCAAGGCAAGAUAUGAAGUAUCAGGGAAAAAAAAGACACAAAUCUGUCAGAGACAAGUUAGAAACUCAGUUUUAACAUUAUGUGGGGAUGCCAAAUGCUGGGUACUAAAACAGUAACAACAAAAAAGUGCAGUUUGCACUAUCCCUUCCCCCACCACUCAUUGAAAAGUCUGAGAGUUGAGUUCCUAGAAGCAAGAGGGUUCCUCAGAUUAUGGAUUCCUGGAUUCUUGGGCUUGCCAAAACCCUGUAUAAGGCCUUAAAUGGAGAGGAAAAAAGAUCACCCUUUCAGUGCAGACUAAACCAUGAAGAACAAAUGAAGCCUAAACUCUCUGAGGCCUCAGCCCUGAGUCUUCCUGAUGUAAUCAGAGAGUUCAACCUCUUUAUUCAUGAAAAGAAUGAAAUAACCUUGGGAGUCCUAAGCCAAGAGUUUGGACCUAGGCAAAUGCCAAGACAUAUUUAUCUAAGCAAAUUAACUCAGUCACGGUUGGAUGGCCACCCUGCCUCAGAGCACUGGCAGCCUCUGUUGUCAAGGGAAGCUGACACUAGGACAAAACCUCAAUGUUAAAGUCCCUCACUCAGUUGUAACCUUGGAUAACAGAGGUCACCAUUGGCUCACAAAUGCAUGAAUGACUCAAUAUCAAGUGUCGCUAUGUGAAAAUCCCCAGGUAAAACUCUUAAACCCAGCUACCUUCCUCCCAGGCAAUGCAGGCCCCCAAGACCAUAACUGUUUAGAAGUACUAGAUAGAAUAUUUUCCAGCAGAUCAGACUUGGUCCUAUACACUGAUGGAAGUAAUUUUAUGAGAAUGCCCGAUUAUGCCAUAAUAUUCAACUCCAAAAUAGUGGAAACAGAGGCACUUCUCCAAGGACAGUCAGCACAAAGAGCAGAAUUUUGGACAUUAAUUAGGACACUGGAACUCAGCCAGGACCAGCAAGCCAACAUCUAUAUUGACCCACAGUAUCAUUUUACUACUCUAUAUGUCCGUGGAAAUUUAUAAAAGGAAAGAGGACUCCUUACUGAAGAAUAAAAAAGGAUCAAGAACCAAGCCAAAAUUUUGGAACUUUUAGAAGUAGUAUGGGAGCCAAAGGAGGUGGAAUUGUCCCCUAUUAGAGUCACCAAAAGGGAGAUGACCCAGUGACAAAAGGAAAGCAUCAUGUUGAUACUGCCACCAAACGGGCUGCCUGAAAAAAUUCAAAAUAUUGCUAGCCCAGAAAUGCUCACUUUUUUCAGGUACUCUCCUGAGGAAGAAAAAUGGAUAAAAAAAGGUGUGGGGAGGAAACCAAGGCCACAACAGGAUGGUGGUUCAUAAGGGACCAUCAAGUGUAUAUUCCCGAACAACUAGCUUACAGACUGAUCCACCAACAAUGCGACCUGACCCAUGCUGGGAGCUAUCCAUGAAAUGUGCAUGGACUAAAGUGAUGUUGAAACUAUUAGUCAUGAAAACCUGGUAUUGUGAAAUACCGGUGGGAACCUCGCUGGUUUGAGAAUGUGGCUUCCUGUCUAGCUCCUGCUAAGCUUCUAGCAUAGCCCCAGAGAUGGGAAAGACACCUUGGAGCCACAUAGCCUCCCAGAGAUGGGUAUGGCUUGCCAAAUGCCAAUCAACCUGUUUACUGCAAGACCCCUUGCAGUUAAAUGGAAGAAGCAACCAAGAAGAAGCAAGCACUGAACUGACUCCUCCUACUGAAACCUUACCCCUGCCUUUGAUGUACUCCCACAUAAAGAAUUGGAGCCUUUUUUCAGCUGUUCAUUUCCAGCUCCUAUCAGGACUGGAAGACCCAUCAGGCACUCCUCUUUGAAUCUUAUUUCUGGCUCUGUCUUUAUUUCUUACUGAUUAUUUUAUACUUUUUAUUUCCAAGGCGGCUUACACCUCCUUAGCAGGAACCUAUCCUAUCCAGGUGCUAGUCAUCUCGUUAUAAACCCACAUGGGAAAAACUGCCUCGGGGACCUUACUAGGCUGGUUCUACCUCACUGCUUGUCUCCCUGCACUCUGCUCCUCUGUCUCUCAGCAUUACACGACCUGCUUACAAAACAAUGCUCACCAGGGAUCUAAUAAAUUGGCAGGAACACAGACAGCACUGUGGACUCUUCCUGUUUGAAGAUACGGAAGUGAACUUCACCGAAGCACCCUAAACCAAGGAUAUAAAUACUUAGUAGUUUUUGUCUGCAGUUUCUUAGGAUGGGUGGAAACUUUUCCAUCCUGAACUAAAAAGACAAAAGAGGUAACUAAGGUUCUCUUGAGGGUGUUAUUCCCAGAUAUGGAAUGCCUAUAACCAUAGGGUCAGACAAUGGACCAGCAUCUGUGACUGAGAGAGUACAACAGGUGACAAGGGCUUUAAAAAUUCAGUGGAAACUACAUGCUGCCCAUCACCCUCUUAAAAAUGAGAUGUUUGCCCCAGGCAAACAUAGGAUUUUUGCCAUUUAGAAUCCUGUAUGGGUGACCACCCCGACUGGUCAGCUUAAGGGGAAACACCAGAUAAUUAAGAGACUUAGGUUUACAUAAAAAGCUACAAAGAUUGGGGAUCAUCAUCUCAAAAACACAUAAGUGGGUCACCUGGGGACCAAAUAUGGAUAAGAGACUUAAAAAGAAGCCCUUAAAACCAAUGUGAAAGGGGACUCACACUGUACACUUAACCACCCCUACUGCUCUCAAAGGAACAGAAAUGAACACUUGGAUCCACCACUCCAGAGCCAAACCUGCUGGCCCAACUGAGGAUCAGGGAAAUGGAGAACAGCCCUUAAUCUAGAAACAUCCCUGUGUCUGAUGCUACAGAGAAGGAGACAGUGAUCUCAAAGCCCUGCUGUGACCAUACCAGAAGCUAGUCUUGAAAGGUUAAGAAUGUAAAGGUUAAGUUUUGUUUUCUUGGUUGAGUUUAAGUUCUGUUUUCCUGAAACCUGAAAUUUAUGUAGGUGUCAAAACAAUUCCCAGAAAAACCGUUAAAUGUAUGUUGAGAAAUGUCUCCUGACCAUCUGGUUGCUCUGUACAAACAACCCCUCCCGCAUUCCCUGACCUCCACAUGAACUCCCCAGUUCAAACAAUGUAUAUAAGCUCUGCUUAAGUUGUUCUCGGGGCUCUCAGCUCCUCUCAAGUGAGCUCUGAGCCCCAGCAUGCUGGACCCCCAAUAAACCCUCUGCUGUUGCAUGAGACAAUCUCUUGGUGGUCUCUUCCUCCGACUCUCGCCCGACCUUAACAGUCUGUCAACCUAUGGCUGAAGACCAAGGAGUUAACUGCCUGGUAAAAAAAUGAAUGAUUUGAUUCUCUACAAAUAUUUUCUUACUGUUUACAUACUGCCUUCCUUUGUCUCAGUAUAUAUGCUUAUUGCUAUUGCUUGUUGUUAUUAAUCUGGUCCCUCACAGCACUGCCAG